AUUGAACGCUGGCGGCAUGCUUUACACAUGCAAGUCGAACGGCAGCGCGGGCUUCGGCCUGGCGGCGAGUGGCGAACGGGUGAGUAAUACAUCGGAACGUGCCCAGUAGUGGGGAUAGGUCGGCGAAAGGCGGAUUAAUUCCGCAUACGACCUGAGGGUGAAAGCGGGGGAUCUUUGGACCCCCCGCCAUUUGAGCGGCCGAUGGCAGAUUAGCUAGUUGGUGGGGUAAAGGCCUACCAAGGCGACGAUCUGUAGCUGGUCUGAGAGGACGACCAGCCACACUGGGACUGAGACACGGCCCAGACUCCUACGGGAGGCAGCAGUGGGGAAUUUUGGACAAUGGGCGAAAGCCUGAUCCAGCAAUGCCGCGUGUGUGAUGAAGGCCUUCGGGUUGUAAAGCACUUUUGGCGGGAACGAAAAGGACUGUGCCAAUACCACGGUUCGAUGACGGUACCCGCAGAAUAAGCACCGGCUAACUACGUG
RNAcentral lists this ribosomal RNA (483 nucleotides) under uncultured bacterium. Its description in RNAcentral is "partial 16S ribosomal RNA". It matches the Rfam family "Bacterial small subunit ribosomal RNA", at positions 29 to 507 of the family's 1533-position model. The record is from RNAcentral.